AACGAACGCUGGCGGUAUGCUUAACACAUGCAAGUCGAACGAACAAAAUUGGGGCUUGCUCCAAUUUUAGUGAGUGGCAAACGGGUGAGUAACACGUGGGAAUCUACCUAUCAGUACGGAAUAACAUUUGGAAACAGAUACUAAUACCGUAUAUUCUCCAAGGAGGAAAGAUUUAUCGCUGAUAGAUGAGCCCGCGUAAGAUUAGGUAGUUGGUAGGGUAAUGGCCUACCAAGCCGACGAUCUUUAGCUGGUCUGAGAGGAUGAUCAGCCACACUGGGACUGAGACACGGCCCAGACUCCUACGGGAGGCAGCAGUGGGGAAUAUUGGACAAUGGGCGAAAGCCUGAUCCAGCAAUACCGCGUGAAUGAUGAAGGCCUUAGGGUUGUAAAAUUCUUUUAGUUGGAAAGAUAAUGACGGUACCAACAGAAAAAGCCCCGGCUAACUCCGUGCCAGCAGCCGCCGUAA
RNAcentral lists this ribosomal RNA (466 nucleotides) under uncultured bacterium. RNAcentral describes it as "partial 16S ribosomal RNA". It matches the Rfam family "Bacterial small subunit ribosomal RNA", at positions 29 to 523 of the family's 1533-position model. The record is from RNAcentral.